Sparus aurata (gilthead seabream) is the source of this 1620-nucleotide long non-coding RNA. The record is from Ensembl. Lineage: Eukaryota; Metazoa; Chordata; Actinopteri; Spariformes; Sparidae.
UUUGUUGUUUCCUCCCUUUUUAGUUGCUGUAGGCCGGUGGUGGCGUUGCUGGUGACCUGGUGGUGGCAUCCUCCCUUGUCUUGUCUUGCUGUGUCCCUUGGAGUGGGUUUUUCUUCACUGAGAGUGUGUCUGCCACGUGUGCCCGGUGACUUAAGUUUGUUUCUUUAUUUUGGUGGAUUCCUCCCCUGCACUAGCCUUCGUCCAUCCACUUCGGCCUCAGCCCUGAUUAGUUGCUGUAGGCCGGUGGUGGCGUUGCUGGUGACCUGGUGGUGGCAUCCUCCCUUGUCUUGUCUUGCUGUGUCCCUUGGAGUGGGUUUUUCUUCACUGAGAGUGUGUCUGCCACGUGUGCCCGGUGACUUAAGUUUGUUUCUUUAUUUUGGUGGAUUCCUCCCCUGCACUAGCCUUCGUCCAUCCACUUCGGCCUCAGCCCUGAUUAGGUUUGUCUUUUGUGUGAAUGAGUUAAUUGAUUUUUAAGAAUAUAUUAAAAUAAAAUGCAUUUUAAAACUUUGAACCACGUCUCUCGCCUUUAAGUAACUACGAACCUGUGUGCCUUGCGUAAGAAAAUAAUUCUCUGGGUGAAAUUCCCAGGGUGGCGUUGUUGAGCUUUUAGUAUUUUUCCUUUCUUUUCACCUCCUCCUUGCCACAGUUAGAUUAAAUUCAUUACAAUCAAGUUUAGAAAUAUGAAAUCCAGGAAAAUAACAUGAGUGAAACUGGUUUACAGUUAACCCUAAUAUCUGAAGGGGGUGCACUUUCUCCAGUUUUACACUUGAGAUUCAUAACUACCAAUUAUUCAAUUAUUCAUUAAAAAAAAUCCCUUAAAUGCAAAUGUGAACACUUGAUGUGCCAAUUUUAACAUUUUAGGUGGUACGUAUCAGGUAUGAGGGUUAAGCAUUAUUUUCUGACUCUUUUUAAUGCUGAAUGUAAAAACAGAAUAUCAUAACUGAUUAACACCGCACUUAAAACUAUCAAAUAGACUUACCUGAACAGUCUCUGAGUCUUCCAGAGUACUCCCAGUCAGAGUCUUGAAGAUUGCGUCACUGCUGGUGCUCUCAUCCAGGAAAGGCAUGGAUUUGAAGAGGGGGUCCAGUGCAGUGCUCAGAUGGAGAAACUGGAUCAGUGUGUGAUCUGUAUCAGGGUACCUGUCCUUGAAGUCACGUGAAAUGGCAGUUUUGACCUCUUUCACUGCUGCUGAGUCAGACAGUGCAUUUACAUGACACUCAAGAAAACCGAAUUACUAUGUUAGUCUGACUAUGAUGGGAUCUUUAAGAUGCACGUAUAUACCUUAGUCAGACUAAAAUCAGACCGGAUUGGAUUUCUCAUAGUCGAAUUAAAGCACCCAGAUUAUUCGAUUGAUAGUCGCAUUACUCCUGCAUGUAUACGUUCCAGCGGAUCGGAUUUUGCGUUCUGCGCAGGCGCAAGAUUUUUCCCUGGGGCCGUGAGCCGGAAGUAGACGGACGGCAGCGGCGUCGCCUUUCCGCCGUAAUCACCGCAAGAAUCACUGCGGUGAUUACGGCAAGUUUGUGUAAUUAACAUGUACACCAUAUACGAAAUGUACAAAGACGUAGCUUCGUCUCGCUCUUCGUACGCCAUCUUUCUUGAAUGCCGAGGCAGCUGGUGACA